AAUACAACUGGUAUAAAUAAUACAACUAGUAUAAAUAAUACAACUGGUAUAAAUAAUACAACUAGUAUAAAUAAUACAACUGGUAUAAAUAAUACAACUAGUAUAAAUGAUAAUAUAGACAAUGUUCUUAAAUCCAAAAGAGUAGAAGACACAAUGUUUUUAAAUGAACUCAAGAAAAAUUUAAAAAAUGAAAACAAAAAAAACGAUAGAAGAGUAUAUAAAAAAAUAUUCAUCAGAAAACUUAGAACAUGAAGAAGAAGAAGAACGUAGUAGAUCUUCUUCAAGACAAAACUUUUUAGGUUCAAAUGAAAUUCUGUCUAAAAAUAUUAUAGAAAGCUCUUCAAUACAUGUUGAAAAUAAAAGUAAUACUAAUAAUAAAUUUAGAAUUAGUGAUAUAAAUUUAGUUGAUAAAAAAAAUGAAAAUAGUAGUAGUAGUAGUAGUAGUAUAACUGAGGGUGGUAAAGUUAUGGGUGAUAGAGUUAUGGAUGGUAAAGUUAUGGGUGGUAUUAAUAAUGUACAACAAUCUAAAAGUAUAUUUUCUUUAAGAAGUAUAAAUAAAUUAAAAAUGAACAAUAAUAUACCAUAUAAUAUUAUAGGUAAAAAUGAUGAAGAUGAACAAACUAAUUUAAUUAAUAAUUUGAUGAAGGAUGUACAUAAUAUAAAUAAAAACACAAAACAAUUUUUAUAUAACAAUGAACUUAUAGAUAAAUAUAAAAAUAAUAAAAAACAAAGCACUGAUAGUGUUUAUCACAUUAUUACUGAUAAUAAAAGUCCUAUUUACAUUAGUCCUAAGAGUAAUGCUAGUAUAGACAGUAAUGAAAGUUACAAAUAUACGAGGAGAUUGCCGUCUGCACCUGGAGAUAUUCAUAUGACAGAAGCAACAAUCAAUGUAAAUGAAACAAAAGAAAAGGAAAAAAAAGAGGAAAAUGAAAAGGAAAAAAAAGAAGAAAAAGAAAAGGAAGCAGUAGAAGCAGUAAGCACUGCAACAAGCACAACUGCAGGAACAACUGUAGGAACAACUGCAGGAACAACUGCAGGAACAGCUGUAGGAACAACUGCAGGAACAACUGCGGGAACAACUGCAGGAACAGCUGUAGGAACAACUGCAGGAACAACUGCAGGAACAACUGCAGG
RNAcentral lists this long non-coding RNA (1134 nucleotides) under Piliocolobus tephrosceles (Ugandan red Colobus). RNAcentral's name for it is "lncRNA (ENSPTEG00000005247.1)". The record is from RNAcentral. Lineage: Eukaryota; Metazoa; Chordata; Mammalia; Primates; Cercopithecidae.